UACGUAGGGUGCAAGCGUUAAUCGGAAUACUGGGCGUAAAGCGUGCGCAGGCGGUGAUGUAAGACAGAUGUGAAAUCCCCGGGCUCAACCUGGGAACUGCAUUUGUGACUGCAUCGCUGGAGUGCGGCAGAGGGGGAUGGAAUUCCGCGUGUAGCAGUGAAAUGCGUAGAUAUGCGGAGGAACACCGAUGGCGAAGGCAAUCCCCUGGGCCUGCACUGACGCUCAUGCACGAAAGCGUGGGAGCAACAGG
RNAcentral lists this ribosomal RNA (250 nucleotides) under uncultured bacterium. RNAcentral's name for it is "partial 16S ribosomal RNA". It matches the Rfam family "Bacterial small subunit ribosomal RNA", at positions 524 to 776 of the family's 1533-position model. The record is from RNAcentral.